UACAGAGGUCUCAAGCGUUGUUCGGAUUCAUUGGGCGUAAAGGGUGCGUAGGCGGCGCGGUAAGUCGGGUGUGAAAUCUCGGGGCUUAACUCCGAAACUGCAUUCGAUACUGCCGUGCUUGAGGACUGGAGAGGAGACUGGAAUUUACGGUGUAGCGGUGAAAUGCGUAGAUAUCGUAAGGAAGACCAGUGGCGAAGGCGGGUCUCUGGGCCGGUACUGACGCUGAGGAGCGAAAGCGUGGGGAGCAAACAGG
RNAcentral lists this ribosomal RNA (253 nucleotides) under uncultured bacterium. Its description in RNAcentral is "partial 16S ribosomal RNA". It matches the Rfam family "Bacterial small subunit ribosomal RNA", at positions 524 to 776 of the family's 1533-position model. The record is from RNAcentral.